CAAGAAUGUGAGCUACUGAGUAAUCCCUAAGCUAAAUGUUGGUCAUCUCUCCAAUUCUCUAUGCCAAAUCACCUCUUUUUUUCUCCUUUGUUCUCUCCUCUCUUCUUCAUUUCUCCACCUUCUAUCCUCUUAUUACCUUUCCUAUUCUGCUCCCUUUCUUCCUUCUCAUAUUCCCCAUUUGUACCUAUACUAGAAAUAUUACUGUGGCUCUAUAAAGGAUUUCUCAGCCUCAGCACAUGAAGAAGCCUGUUCAUCUUCAAAUCAAGGGCAAAACCCUAGGCAAUUGGGAAAAUGCUUCAUCAACCACCCAACCAACAGUUGAAGAUAUUUAUGAUAAAACCAGAAGAAUGAAGGAACAGAUGGGAUUCUCUCAGCCUUUCCUGACAAGAGAAAAGAACCACUGUAAAAAGUGUAAAAGAACCACCAGAAGUAGAGAAGAAACCUGGGUUCUACUGGAAACAGUCAGCAGUCUUCACUGGGAUUGAGAUACAGGAACCAUAUUUUUUCACUUGGGGUGGGGGGGAAUAGUAGAAGGCGCAGAGUAUAGAAGUAUACACAGAAAGCCAUUUGACUUGGAGUAUCGUCACACCUGAGGACUCCUUGUCCAUCUUCUAGAAGCGAAUAGACCCAUUGUUACCUUUUCUGGCAUUCUUCAGUGUGGAUGCAGAGCCUCUGGCCAUUAUUGGGAGGAGAUACUAAACAACUCCAAUAUCCCAUUUGGUGAGUGGGACUCCAGGCAUCUUACCCUAGCUAUGGGCCUUUUAGAAUAUUCAUGAAAGUAAUAGAUGAUUUGUUCUGUAACUUAUGUUACUUUCUCUUUUUCUGAGGAGCAAGUGAAUAGCAGUGAACCAAGUCCUCAGACUUGUCUCUGGGAAAGUUUUUCCUUCCUGGUCUUCAAGCUUAGAGUCCCCAGGAAUCCCAGUUGCUGGAUCAAAAGAUGACCUAGGGGUGCCUGAUUGAGUUUCUUUGAAACUUUCCCUCUCAAGGCAUUCUAACUGUCUAAAAUAAAAGAAGCCUCUUAGGUUAGUCCUGGCUCUGA
RNAcentral lists this long non-coding RNA (1039 nucleotides) under Monodelphis domestica (gray short-tailed opossum). RNAcentral's name for it is "lncRNA (ENSMODG00000041592.1)". The record is from RNAcentral. Lineage: Eukaryota; Metazoa; Chordata; Mammalia; Didelphimorphia; Didelphidae.